Pteropus vampyrus (large flying fox) is the source of this 113-nucleotide small nuclear RNA. The record is from Ensembl. Lineage: Eukaryota; Metazoa; Chordata; Mammalia; Chiroptera; Pteropodidae.
GUGCUUGCUUUGGCAGCACAUAUACUAAAACUGGAAUGAUACAGAGAAGAUUAGCCUGGCCCCUGCACAAGGAUGACAUGCAAAUUUGUGAAGCCUUCCAUUAAAAAAUUCUU